Molecule: ribosomal RNA, 466 nt
Filed under: uncultured bacterium
Lineage: Bacteria
Description: bacterial SSU rRNA
Rfam family: Bacterial small subunit ribosomal RNA
Source: RNAcentral
UUCCAGACUCCUACGGGAGGCAGCAGUGAGGAAUAUUGGUCAAUGGGCGCGAGCCUGAACCAGCCAAGUCGCGUGAGGGAAGACGGUCCUAUGGAUUGUAAACCUCUUUUGUCGGGGAGCAAAAGACGCCACGCGUGGCGUUCCGAGAGUACCCGAAGAAAAGGCAUCGGCUAACUCCGUGCCAGCAGCCGCGGUAAUACGGAGGAUGCGAGCGUUAUCCGGAUUUAUUGGGUUUAAAGGGUGCGCAGGCGGAAAGAACAUGCAAGGGGUAAAAUGGAGGGCCUAACCCUCUCCGAGCCGUUGAAACUGGUUUUCUUGAGUGAGCGAGAAGUAUGCGGAAUGCGUGGUGUAGCGGUGAAAUGCAUAGAUAUCACGCAGAACUCCGAUUGCGAAGGCAGCCUGCCGCAGCGUUACUGACGCUGAAGCUCGAAAGCGCGGGUAUCGAACAGGAUUAGAUACCCCCGUA